Long non-coding RNA from Helicoverpa armigera (cotton bollworm), 567 nucleotides. RefSeq lists it as uncharacterized. The transcript has 3 exons. The record is from RefSeq and is a predicted model, not a curated record. NCBI's taxonomy places the organism in Eukaryota, Metazoa, Arthropoda, Insecta, Lepidoptera, Noctuidae.
UAUAUAAACUGAAACGCGGGGGGGUUUCUUCGAGAUACCUUUUCCAAGUCUAGUGGUGAGGUUCGGUUUAUACCAUGUAUUUUAGGAUUGAGUAGUGGUAGGACCAGUCAGGCCCUUUAAAAUGUAGGCACUUACCGAGUAACAAAAUAGUUUUAAAAAUGUAUAUUAAAGUACGGAGUAUAGCUAAAGAGGUGGCAAGUCCCGUUAGCGCAUAAAAUGGCGGAGUCAUCGCCCGGUUGACGAGUACUGCGUAGAUCCUCUUAUUUUUGAUUGUAUAAAGCAGGGGAAGACGUUUUUUUAAGGAUAAGAUGUAAGACCCCGUAAGGUUCCGUCGUUUACAACAUGGCCGCCUGUCCCAUCUACAGAACUAUAGACACAUAGUUUCAUCAAUUUACCGACUCGUUAACGUGGACGACGCAGGAUGGACCCUAGAUAUUCACCAGUAUUAAUAACACCUUCGUAAUUUAGAACAAAAAUAAUUAAAAUUCAAGAUGUUUUAUUAUUAUGUUGGCGGCGUCAGGCAGGCUUAUUAUCAGCGGAUCUUAGGCAGCGAUGUUAGUUACAAAA